Molecule: long non-coding RNA, 1963 nt
Organism: Rattus norvegicus (Norway rat)
Lineage: Eukaryota; Metazoa; Chordata; Mammalia; Rodentia; Muridae
Source: RefSeq, a predicted model, not a curated record
UAAACCUAGAGUGUGAGAAGGCCGAGUGCAAAACCUAACCUAGAAAUCAGCGCUGAGGGAAGGUAGCAGUGGAGAACCUUUAGAUUCUAGUUGUCAGGAUUUGGUAGCUGAUCUGAUGCAUAAGUAGUCUUGAAGGGUGUCUGACCUCUGGCCAAGCCCAGUGUCACCUGAGAGGAGUCCCCACUUGAGCUCCAUCAACACCUUGAGGAUCAGUUGAUGCGCCUGUGAACACCUAGGAGAAAUGUCCAGGAAAUAGACAAUUGUGUGGCUUGUUAGAAUAGGACAGGUUCUAAAAACGGAGGUGUGAAUCUUUACACCCGAGGUCCUGAGGCAGCAGCAUCCUAAGGAGUAACCUAAGUAGAGGAGAGGAGACUGGGUGGAACCAUGGGCUGCUGCAAGAUAUCAGGAGGAGGUGCUCUGUGCAGGAAGUGGCCAAGGAGCAUGCAUAUUGGCAAGGAUCCAUGGGAUCUGGCAGCCCUAGAGUCCUUAGCUGAGCUCUUUUUCAUGGGAGCAGGAAAACACAGAUGUAAUUGUGGUGGUGACUACUGACAGUAUUACAGACAGAUCUAGAAUCAUCUGAGCAUGUCUGCAAGCGGGUUUCCAGAUUGGAUUAACCAAGAUACUCUGUGUGGGGAGCAUCACCUCACGGGCGGCAGUCCGGCACUGAAAAAAAGAUAUCGAGAGCUGAGCAUCGACAUUCGUCUCCCUGCUUCCUGACUGCAGGCACAGUGAAGCCAACUACCUCACAUUGCUGCUGUGAUUUUCCCAUCAUGCUCUCAAACUGAGCCCAAACCUUCCUCUCUUCAUGCGCUUUUGUCGGGCAUUCUGUCAAACAACAGGAAAAGAAACAAAUGCAAAAACCAUUACCUAAUACUCUCUUAAAAUCUUUACAAACCAUGGAACUGAGUGCUGAACUUGUUCUGAGUUCAAGGGCGAGGCACCAUGUGUAUGGACUACGUAAGUCUGGAGGAUUUCAGGACUCGUUUGGCUGGAUGUGCCGGCCUCUGCUUUCUCUUUGGUACUCACAAUGGCUCUUUAUUGAUGAUGAGAUAUUUGACACUGAGUGUUUUACCCUGUUAAGAAUAUGACUCAUUCAAUUCAGUCAUUCAGUUUCAUCUCUCACGAUUCUUUCGCAUCUGUGUGCGCCUCCCGUAUCUCCAUGGUAACCAUUGCUGAGUCCUCUGGGUUCUAUCUUCUGAAUACUCUACGAUGCUUAAUCUUGGUUGCCUACUUGUUUGGAUUAAAAGCCAUCAAGAAAACUGACACAUCACACUUCUAGGCAUGGACAUGAGAGUGUUUUUCAAAGAGAAUUAUCAUACAGAUCAGUGACUCUGGGGGUGUGUGUGGAGGAGGAGCUGCCCUUGAAGACUGUGAGAGAUCCGGAAUGAUCCCUGGAGGCUGCCUGUCCAGAAGCUGGGAUCCUAAAGACAAGGCAGCACACUCCAUAGAUGACUGGUCUCUCUCUGGACCUGGAGCUCCGUGUUUCAGCUAGAUUCUGAUUUCUCCACUGGCUAAUCUGAGGACAACACAACAGACAUCAAGAGGGAGAAGUACAGUGGACUUCAACUCCUACAAGGGCCUACUCAAGUCAACCCAACUCUCUCUGCCUAAGGAGGUACAGUUCCCUGUAUUUCUACAGAGAUCAACUUGAGGCCUCAGGCCCUAAGCAAGAGUUAUAGAUGAAACCCCUCACCCGUGUCUCUGUAAGCAAACCCCAUCAAGCCCAUCAAACCAAGAAAAGAACUGAAGUCGUGAAAGCAGAAGCCUGGCUAGCUGGAAGACAUGGGAGUCAGUGGGCAGGGACGAGAGGUAAUAGGGUGACAUAAUCAAAGUGGAUUUUACCCACUAUGAGCACAUCACAAUGAACUGUUACGGUGUGUAAGUACUAUAUUCUGACAUAUAUGUGAAUGAUAUGUGAAAUAAAUUAAAUAAGAUGAUUACUAAAAGUCAUUGAUAACCACUA